UACGUAGGGGGCAAGCGUUGUCCGGAUUUAUUGGGCGUAAAGCGCUCGCAGGUGGUUCGAUGCGUCGUGCGUGAAAGACCCCGGCUCAACUGGGGAGGGUCGUGCGAUACGGUCGAACUGGAGGCCAGUAGGGGGAUGCGGAAUUCCGGGUGUAGUGGUGGAAUGCGUAGAGAUCCGGAGGAACACCAGCGGCGAAGGCGGCAUCCUGGACUGGUCCUGACACUCAUGAGCGAAAGCGUGGGGAGCAAACAGG
Molecule: ribosomal RNA, 253 nt
Filed under: uncultured bacterium
Lineage: Bacteria
Description: partial 16S ribosomal RNA
Rfam family: Bacterial small subunit ribosomal RNA
Source: RNAcentral